Molecule: ribosomal RNA, 830 nt
Filed under: uncultured bacterium
Lineage: Bacteria
Description: bacterial SSU rRNA
Rfam family: Bacterial small subunit ribosomal RNA
Source: RNAcentral
UUGUGCCAGCAGCCGCGGUAAUACGUAGGGCGCAAGCGUUAUCCGGAAUUAUUGGGCGUAAAGAGCUCGCAGGCGGUUUGUCGCGUCUGCCGUGAAAGUCCGGGGCUUAACUCCGGAUCUGCGGUGGGUACGGGCAGACUAGAGUGCAGUAGGGGAGACUGGAAUUCCUGGUGUAGCGGUGAAAUGCGCAGAUAUCAGGAGGAACACCGAUGGCGAAGGCAGGUCUCUGGGCUGUAACUGACGCUGAGGAGCGAAAGCAUGGGGGAGCGAACAGGAUUAGAUACCCUGGUAGUCCAUGCCGUAAACGUUGGGCACUAGGUGUGGGGGACAUUCCACGUUUUCCGCGCCGUAGCUAACGCAUUAAGUGCCCCGCCUGGGGAGUACGGCCGCAAGGCUAAAACUCAAAGGAAUUGACGGGGGCCCGCACAAGCGGCGGAGCAUGCGGAUUAAUUCGAUGCAACGCGAAGAACCUUACCAAGGCUUGACAUGAACCGGAAUGAUGCAGAGAUGUGUCAGCCACUUGUGGCCGGGUUUACAGGUGGUGCAUGGUUGUCGUCAGCUCGUGUCGUGAGAUGUUGGGUUAAGUCCCGCAACGAGCGCAACCCUCGUUCAAUGUGCCAGCGGGUUAUGCCGGGGACUCAUGGAGACUGCCGGGUCAACUCGGAAGAAGGUGGGGACGACGUCAAUCAUCAUGCCCCUUAUGUCUUGGGCUUCACGCAUGCUACAUGGCCGGUACAAAGGUUGCGAUACUGUGAGUGGAGCUUAUUCCUAAAAGCGGCUCAGUUCGGAUUGAGGUCUGCAACUCGACCUCAUGAAGGUGGAGUCGCUAG